GUUUAGAUAGCUUAAUAAAAGCGUGUUAUUGAAGCUAACAACAUGGAACUUCCUCUAGACAA
Molecule: transfer RNA, 62 nt
Filed under: Eisenia nordenskioldi nordenskioldi
Lineage: Eukaryota; Metazoa; Annelida; Clitellata; Crassiclitellata; Lumbricidae
Description: tRNA-Phe
Source: RNAcentral